UGAGGUUUCUGGAGGCUUACCUUCCGCGGUUCCUUCGUGAGCUGCAGCUGGCAUGGCUGAAGUUGACCGAACUUGAUGAUUUAGAGGAAGUAAAAGUCGUAACAAGGUUUCCGUAGGUGAACCUGCGGAAGGAUCAUUACUGAUGAUCGUCCGCGAGUGACCAACCAUGGGCUGCCUUCGGUGUAGCUCGGUCGCUCGCUUGCUAUGUGUCAGAAUUUGUUGAAAGCCAUCUCGUUCGUUGUACACUUUGAUGGGUGACCAUCACUGUGUCUCCGUGCCGAGCUAGAUCUCCCCUAGCCGUAAGGCACUUGAACGCCCCUUCGACGACGAGUUGCAUGUGUGUGGUAUGUGUCAGAAUCUGGUGAAGCUUUCUGCAUGUGAUGUGCCUUGUGUGGAUCCGUGGCCAUUGCAUUGUGUCUGGUGCUUAGAUACCCAGACACUUAGAACGCUUGCGCGGAAAGCAAACUCGAUCGUUGUACACUUUGAUGGGUGACCAUCACUGUGUCUCCGUGCCGUGCUAGAUCCCCCCUAGCCGUAAGGCACUUUGAACGCCCCUUCGACGACGAGUUACAAGAGUGUGUUAUGUGUCAGAAUCUGGUGAAGCUUUCUGCAUGUGAUGUGCCUUGUGUGGAUCCGUGGCCAUUGCAUUGUGUCUGGUGUGUAGGUACCCAGACACUUAGAACGCUUGCGCGGAAAGCAAACUCGAUCGUUGUACACUUUGAUGGGCAACCAUCACUGUGUCUCCGUGCCGUGCUAGAUCUCCCCUAGCCGUAAGGCACUUUGAACGCCCCUUCGACGACGAGUUACAAGAGUGUGGUAUGUGUCAUAAUCUGGUGAAGCUUUCUGCAUGUGAUGUGCCUUGUGUGGAUCCGUGGCCAUUGCAUUGUGUCUGGUGUGUAGGUACCCAGACACUUAAGCAAACUCGAUCGUUGUACACUGUGAUGGGCGAGCAUCACUGUGUCUCCGUGCCGUGUAAGAGCUCCCCUGGCCAUCAGGCACUUGAAAGGUCCUUCGACGACGAGUUACAAUAGUGGUGUGUUAGAUACGUCAGGUGAUGGUAUCUACUGUUGUGCAAUACGUAUCCGGCCACGGCACGGAACGAAUGGGAACGGUGGUGCAGUCAUACAAGGGCCAUGGGGCGGUACGCAAAGGAUACGGAUGAGCGAGUAUGCAGGCCCAAUACUCAAUAGCUCGAUCCGAUCCAAGCACAUGAGUUGACUGCGGCGUCAGGUUAACCAAUGUGCAAUACGUAUCCGGCUACGGCACGGAACGAACAGGAACUGUGGUGCAGACAUACAAGGGCCAUGGGGCGGUACGCAAAGGAUACGGAUGAGCGAGUAUGCAGGCCCAAUACUCAAUAGCUCGAUCCGAUCCAAGCACAUGAGUUGACUGCGGCGUCAGGUUAACCAAUGUGCAAUACGUAUCCGGCUACGGCACGGAACGAACAGGAACUGUGGUGCAGACAUACAAGGGCCAUGGGGCGGUACGCAAAGGAUACGGAUGAGCGAGUAUGCAGGCCCAAUACUCAAUAGCUCGAUCCGAUCCAAGCACAUGAGUUGACUGCGGCGUCAGGUUAACCAAUGUGCAAGAUUCUAUAUGGCCGGUAGAAUCUUGUGUCUUAAGCGAUUUGAUACCAAGACACCAGAACGAAAGUUAGUUGAAGAGUUAUUAAACUCUUAUGAAGUAUGGUUGUGCAACUACAACUUAUGACUUUAACCUAUAAAGUGGAUAUGGACUUGCAAUUAUAACAUGGAAUCUCUACACACCCCAUGAGCUCGAUCCAAUCCACGCACACGAGUUGCCUGAUUAGCGACAGGUAUACCGAUGUGCAAUACGUAUCCGGCCAUAGGCACGGAACGAACAGGAACUGUGGUGCAGACAUACAAGGGCCAUGGGGCGGUACGCAAAGGAUACGGAUGAGCGAGUAUGCAGGCCCAAUACUCAAUAGCUCGAUCCGAUCCAAGCACAUGAGUUGACUGCGGCGUCAGGUUAACCAAUGUGCAAGAUUCUAUAUGGCCGGUAGAAUCUUGUGUCUUAAGCGAUUUGAUACCAAGACACCAGAACGAAAGUUAGUUGAAGAGUUAUUAAACUCUUAUGAAGUAUGGUUGUGCAACUACAACUUAUGACUUUAACCUAUAAAGUGGAUAUGGACUUGCAAUUAUAACAUGGAAUCUCUACACACCCCAUGAGCUCGAUCCAAUCCACGCACACGAGUUGCCUGAUUAGCGACAGGUAUACCGAUGUGCAAUACGUAUCCGGCCAUAGGCACGGAACGAACAGGAACUGUGGUGCAGACAUACAAGGGCCAUGGGGCGGUACGCAAAGGAUACGGAUGAGCGAGUAUGCAGGCCCAAUACUCAAUAGCUCGAUCCGAUCCAAGCACAUGAGUUGACUGCGGCGUCAGGUUAACCGAUGUGCUAAGAGAGUUGUUCCUGGGCCUUCAAAGUGACUUCAAAACUAUCUUAGCGAAUGGUGGCCAUGGGCGUAGACAUGAGCCACAAGUCACAAGGCCUGGGACUAUUGGGUAAUAAAGACAACUUAGUCAGAAAGUUAGUCUUUGGAC
Molecule: long non-coding RNA, 2563 nt
Organism: Anopheles funestus (African malaria mosquito)
Lineage: Eukaryota; Metazoa; Arthropoda; Insecta; Diptera; Culicidae
Exons: 2
Source: RefSeq, a predicted model, not a curated record